This 1868-nucleotide long non-coding RNA is filed under the name Pan troglodytes (chimpanzee). RNAcentral's name for it is "lincRNA". The record is from RNAcentral. Lineage: Eukaryota; Metazoa; Chordata; Mammalia; Primates; Hominidae.
CUCCCUCCGCCACCCAUUGGUCCCUGCCGCAUGCCACUGGCUGUCUGUUGAGCCAGCUGGAGCCGAAGGGGCCAACCGGUUUUCUUUAUUAAACGUAAGCGAAGUCCGAAAGAGCCCUGCUUUUGAUUGGAGCCAGAAGAGCCUGAAGCGAGGUCCUGUAAGGCGCCGAAGCCUCGGCAACGUGCCAUGAUAGGCUGAGGAAGUCAAACUCCUGCCUGACGCCGCUAGUGUCACCGAAGGCCGGACAACACAAGAGAAAAGUUCAUUCAUUCAUUCGUUGAACAAUUAUAUGAGCGCCUACUGUGUGCCAAGCACUGUAAAGGGUGGAUGAAAAGACAAGCUGAUAGAAUGCCAACGAAUAGAAGUGAAAGGAAUGAUGGAGUUAGAAAAUCACCAUUUUCCAAAAUCAGUACAUGGUGGCGCGUGACUACAGUACCAGCUACUGGGGAGGCUGAGGUGGAAGGAUCACCUGAGUUCAGGAGGUUGAGGCUGCAGUGAGCUGAAGGCGCGCCAUUGCACUCCAGCCUGGGCGACGAGAGUGAGACCAUAUCUCAAAACAACAACAAAAAAAGUAAAAUCAUAAAAGAUAUUCAGAGACAGACGUCAGGGUUGCAUGUGCAACCCUGAUUCAGAAGCAGCAAUAGAUGUCAAAACAACUGGGUGAAAGUUGGAUGAGGAGCAAGAUAUUUACAUAUAGGGUUGCCAGAUCUAGCAAAUAAAAACACAAGAUGCCCAAUCAAAUCAGAAUUUUAGAUAAACACUUUGGGAGGUCAUAUUUAUACUUUAUUUAUGGCUUAUCUGGAAUUCAGAUUCAACUGGGCUUCCUGUAUUUUUUCCCGCAAACUUUUUGCAUAGUCUCAAAGUAUCUCUCCCGCAAGGAAACUUAAGGAGGGCAGGGCGCGGUGGCUCACGCCUGUAAUCCCCAGCACUUUGGGAGGUCAAGGCAGACGGAUCACCUGAGGCCAGGAGUUCGAGACCAACCUGGCCAAUGUGUUGAAACCCCCGUCUCUACUAAAAACACAAAAAAUUAUCUGAGCAUCGUGGCGGACGCUGUAAUCCCAGCUACUGGGGAGACUGAGGCAUGAGAAUCGCUUGAAUCUGGGAGGCAGAGGUUGCAGGGAGCCGAGACUGUGCCACUGCACUUCACCCUGGGCAACAAAAAGACUCUGUCUCAAAACACAAAACAAACAAACAAACAAAGAACAGGGGAAACCAAUCCUGUCAACACCUUGACCUUUACUUCUAGCCUCCAGGAAGGAAAGGAAAAUGGUAAAUUUACAGUGAAGAAACAUGACAGUUACUGCUUCAACCACGUGAUCAAAGUUAGCACCACCCAGUAAGGGAACACACAUAUGUGCCUUCUGAUAGGAUCCAUUGAGGAGACACAUCACUUCGUAGCUCUUAACAAGUCUGUAAAUUUAAUAAGGUGAUUUUCCUAAACCAAUGAGUCUCCUAAAAACGGUUACAGAUUCCUCAUUUCACAUUGAGAAGAAAGAUCACAGACCUAGAAUGUUAAAACUGUCCAGGAAAAAAAACAGUUGUAAAGCUUUGGAACACACUAGUAGAUCUUAAUCUAUUCACAAGGAAAUAUCAGACAAGCCCAAAGUGAGAGAUAUUCUACAAGAUAAAUUGCUUGUACUCUUGACAGCUCCAAGGCCAUGAAAGACAAAGAAUGAGAAACUGGUUCUCCAUUAAAGGAGCCUAGACAUGACAGCUAAAUGCUGUUUGAUUCUGGAUUGGAUUCUGGACCCAAAACUUUUUGUCUUUCUUUUUUUCUCUUUCUUGCUUCUUUUUUUCUCUCUUUUGCUAUAGAUGACAUUAUAGGACAAUUGGCAAAAUAUGAAUAAAGUCUGCAACUAGCUAAUAGC